UUUUCUCAGGGAAUAAGUACUGAAGGUACCUGAGGAAUCAGCAUCGGCUAACUCCGUGCCAGCAGCCGCGGUAAUACGGAGGAUGCAAGCGUUUUCGGAAAUGAUUGGGCGUAAAGCGUCCGCAGGUGGUUUUUCAAGUCUGCUGUCAAAGAGUUUGGCUCAACCAAAUAAAGGCAGUGGAAACUGAGAGACUGGAGUAUGGUAGGGGUAGAGGGAAUUCCUGGUGUAGCGGUGAAAUGCGUAGAGAUCAGGAAGAACACCGGUGGCGAAAGCGCUCUGCUGGACCAUAACUGACACUGAGGGACGAAAGCUAGGGGAGCGAAUGGGAUUAGAUACCCCAGUAGUCCUAGCCGUAAACGAUGGAUACUAGGCGUUGCCCGUAUCGACCCGGGCAGUGUCGUAGCCAACGCGUUAAGUAUCCCGCCUGGGGAGUACGCACGCAAGUGUGAAACUCAAAGGAAUUGACGGGGGCCCGCACAAGCGGUGGAGUAUGUGGUUUAAUUCGAUGCAACGCGAAGAACCUUACCAGGGCUUGACAUGUCCGGAAUCUCUUGGAAACGAGAGAGUGCCUACGGGAGCCGGAACACAGGUGGUGCAUGGCUGUCGUCAGCUCGUGUCGUGAGAUGUUGGGUUAAGUCCCGCAACGAGCGCAACCCUCGUUCUUAGUUGCCAGCACUUCGGGUGGGCACUCUAGGGAGACUGCCGGUGACAAACCGGAGGAAGGUGGGGAUGACGUCAAGUCAGCAUGCCCCUUACGUCCUGGGCUACACACGUACUACAAUGCUGUGGACAAAGGGCAGCAAGCUAGCAAUAGCAAGCAAAUCCCAUAAACCACGGCUCAGUUCAGAUCGCAGGCUGCAACUCGCCUGCGUGAAGGAGGAAUCGCUAGUAAUUGCAGGUCAGCAUACUGCAGUGAAUUCGUUCCCGGGCCUUGUACACACCGCCCGUCACACCAUGGAAGCUGGUCACGCCCGAAGUCGUUACCCUAACCUUUCGAGGAGGGGGACGCCGAAGGUAGGACUGGUGACUGGGGUGAAGU
This 1039-nucleotide ribosomal RNA is filed under the name Brasilonema tolantongense BLCC-T61. Its description in RNAcentral is "bacterial SSU rRNA". It matches the Rfam family "Bacterial small subunit ribosomal RNA", at positions 434 to 1486 of the family's 1533-position model. The record is from RNAcentral. Lineage: Bacteria; Bacillati; Cyanobacteriota; Cyanophyceae; Nostocales; Scytonemataceae.